GGCGCCGUGGCUUAGUUGGUUAAAGCGCCUGUCUUGUAAACAGGAGAUCGGGGGUUCGAAUCCCCUCGGGGCCU
Molecule: transfer RNA, 74 nt
Filed under: Polistes fuscatus (common paper wasp)
Lineage: Eukaryota; Metazoa; Arthropoda; Insecta; Hymenoptera; Vespidae
Description: tRNA-Thr
Rfam family: tRNA
About the family: Transfer RNA (tRNA) molecules are approximately 80 nucleotides in length.
Source: RNAcentral